This 292-nucleotide ribosomal RNA is filed under the name uncultured eukaryote. RNAcentral describes it as "partial 18S ribosomal RNA". It matches the Rfam family "Eukaryotic small subunit ribosomal RNA", at positions 6 to 293 of the family's 1831-position model. The record is from RNAcentral.
GGUUGAUCCUGCCAGUAGUCAUAUGCUUGUCUCAAAGAUUAAGCCAUGCAUUGUCUCAGUACUUGCUUUAUCAAGGCGAAACCGCGAAUGGCUCAUUAAAUCAGUUAUGGUUCACUAGAUCGUAUUCAUUACAUGGAUAACUGUGGUAAUUCUAGAGCUAAUACAUGCACUCAGCUCGGCUGCCUUGUGCAGCGAGCGCAGUUAUUAGAACAAAACCAAUCCGGCCUCGGUCGGUAAACUUGGUGACUCUGAAUAACCGAAGCGGAGCGCUAAGGUCUCGUACCGGCGCCAG